UAAUUAAUAAGAGAGCUCCCUUGUGCUCCAACACUAAAAAGAUGUGAUCUGAAGGCCACAUCUGCUAGUUCAUGGGUACCUCAAGGAGUGCAAUACAUAUAUAUAUAUAAUAUAACAUGUAUAAAUUCAUAUAUUACUUGCGCAGCCUAAGGGUUUGCAUGAGCUUGGAGACGAGGUUUCUUUGAUCUUUUUUGGUUUGGGGUGAAGGGAGCUCUCAGAAAAAUACCA
RNAcentral lists this microRNA precursor (228 nucleotides) under Morus notabilis. Its description in RNAcentral is "MIR159 microRNA precursor family". It matches the Rfam family "MIR159 microRNA precursor family". The record is from Rfam by way of RNAcentral. Lineage: Eukaryota; Viridiplantae; Streptophyta; Magnoliopsida; Rosales; Moraceae.